CUCAAUUCAUAGUCAUGUACUAUUUUUAUCUUUUAUUCAAAAUUUUAAUAUUUUUUCUAAAUUUUAAAUUUUUAAAAUUUUAACAUUAAAACAUAUUUAAUAAAUUAUUGAAUAGUGUGUGACGAUGGAUGGAUGGAUGGAUGAAGUGUCGUUGGAGAGCUGCUCAUUGAAAUCUGAAAAAAAUUUCAAAUAUCACCCAUGUAGUUUCAUAUUUUUUAUUUUAGUAUUUUGUGAUUUAAAGUAUAUCAAUUUAGUAUCUUAUGGUUUUAUUUUUCUCUUUUAUUAUUUUUUUACUAUUUUUUUUAUUAAAUCAGUGACAAAAUUAAAAUUAAAAAAUAUUAAAAUGAAUAUUCAACAAACCUAACUAGGUCGGAUAUCUGAACUUUUUUAUAUAUAAUAAUUUAAUAAAAUAUUAACAAAAAACCUAAUCAAAAAAAUAAAACAAAACUAUAUAUUACUAAAUUUAUGCAGUUUAAAAAACUGUAUUUGAAGUUUAUCUU
This 500-nucleotide long non-coding RNA is filed under the name Ananas comosus (pineapple). Its description in RNAcentral is "long non-coding RNA (ACOM_LNC027484)". The record is from RNAcentral. Lineage: Eukaryota; Viridiplantae; Streptophyta; Magnoliopsida; Poales; Bromeliaceae.